RNAcentral lists this ribosomal RNA (492 nucleotides) under uncultured bacterium. RNAcentral describes it as "partial 16S ribosomal RNA". It matches the Rfam family "Bacterial small subunit ribosomal RNA", at positions 29 to 507 of the family's 1533-position model. The record is from RNAcentral.
AGUGAACGCUGGCGGUAGGCCUAACACAUGCAAGUCGAACGGCAGCACAGUAAGAGCUUGCUCUUACGGGUGGCGAGUGGCGGACGGGUGAGGAAUACAUCGGAAUCUACUUUUUCGUGGGGGAUAACGUAGGGAAACUUACGCUAAUACCGCAUACGACCUACGGGUGAAAGCAGGGGAUCUUCGGACCUUGCGCGAUUGAAUGAGCCGAUGUCGGAUUAGCUAGUUGGCGGGGUAAAGGCCCACCAAGGCGACGAUCCGUAGCUGGUCUGAGAGGAUGAUCAGCCACACUGGAACUGAGACACGGUCCAGACUCCUACGGGAGGCAGCAGUGGGGAAUAUUGGACAAUGGGCGCAAGCCUGACCCAGCCAUACCGCGUGGGUGAAGAAGGCCUUCGGGUUGUAAAGCCCUUUUGUUGGGAAAAAAAAGAAGCAGGUUAAUACCCCGCGGUUCUGACGGUACCCAAAGAAUAAGCACCGGCUAACUUCGUG